CCUACGGGAGGCAGCAGUGGGGAAUAUUGGGCAAUGGGCGAAAGCCUGACCCAGCAACGCAGCGUGAAGGAAGAAGGCUUUCGGGUUGUAAACUUCUUUUUACAGGGAAGAGCAGAAGACGGUACCUGUCGAAUAAGCCACGGCUAACUACGGGCCAGCAGCCGCGGUAAUACGGAGGUGGCAAGCGUGUUCCGGCUUUACUGGGUGUAAAGGGCGUGUAGCCGGGCUGACAAGUCAGGUGUGAAAGCGGGGGGCGCAACCGCCGAACUGCAUUUGAAACUGGUGGUCUUGAGUAUCGGAGAGGUAGGCGGAAUUCCUAGUGUAGCGGUGAAAUGCGUAGAUAUUAGGAGGAACCCCAGUGGCGAAGGCGGCCUGCUAGACGACAACUGACGGUGAGGCGCGAAAGCGUGGGGAGCAAACAGGAUUAGAUACCCCGGUAGUC
This 442-nucleotide ribosomal RNA is filed under the name uncultured bacterium. Its description in RNAcentral is "partial 16S ribosomal RNA". It matches the Rfam family "Bacterial small subunit ribosomal RNA", at positions 338 to 795 of the family's 1533-position model. The record is from RNAcentral.